AUUGUCAGGGGACAGUGCUAGCUGGAAGGUACCAAGAAUGUGGGGAUUUUCUGGCAAUGUGCUAGCACCACGGAUUGUAUCCCAAUGCCUGAGACUGUUCCUAGACACUACUGAAUUUACUUGCAUAGAUGUAGCCUGAAGAUAUGCAUUGCUGGCCACAGGGUGUGACAUGAAAGUAUGUAGUGGAGACUGACAGCGUAAAGCUUACUUUAAUAGGAUUGGGAGACUGUAGAAGACGGAGGGAACCAAAUCAGUACCGGCUUGUUCAGAUUACUGAAUUGUGCUUUUGUAUUGUCUACCUCAGUACGAGAUGUAAUGAGCCAAAACUGUGCCAGCUGAUGUGUAAUCAACUAAGCAGCUAUUUUCAGAUCACGUAAUGCUUCAGUGCCAGCCUAAUUAUGCAUUUCUGUAAUGUGGGUAUCCUGUACUGUCAAGAUACUGUAUCCUGACUGCAUAUCAAGACUAGAUCUGUAAGUUCAGAACUUGUCCACAUUAUAAUUUUUUCUCAAAAUCUCUGCAAGAAUGAAAAUGUAACAAUUCAAAGAAAUAAAAAGGAUCAAGCUGAAGAAUGUGUGAGGAAUUUCAUGAGUACAGGGGAGAAACAGGUCCUGAACAUGCACAUGUGGAGGACUAUAGUAAGCUUCAAGAGAGAACCAGAAUACCCUUGUGGACAUCCAAGCACCUUUAAGAGGAUAUGA
Molecule: long non-coding RNA, 698 nt
Filed under: Apteryx rowi (Okarito brown kiwi)
Lineage: Eukaryota; Metazoa; Chordata; Aves; Apterygiformes; Apterygidae
Description: lncRNA (ENSARWG00000009516.1)
Source: RNAcentral